Long non-coding RNA from Chenopodium quinoa (quinoa), 381 nucleotides. RefSeq lists it as uncharacterized. NCBI's taxonomy places the organism in Eukaryota, Viridiplantae, Streptophyta, Magnoliopsida, Caryophyllales, Amaranthaceae. The transcript has 4 exons. The record is from RefSeq and is a predicted model, not a curated record.
UAUAGGGAAAAUAUAUAAUGUAACCCUAAAAAAACUCUUAUUUCCCAAUUCACUUCUUUAGCCUCCACCCUUCACUCCUUUCAGUCCCUCACUUCACCUCACUUACUGAGUUCAGACUUCACCGGAGCCUUCACGCACCGACUCACUAGAACAUCAGAUCUAUUAGAUUAUGGAAAGUGUUGUUAAUGAUAACUCAAUGCACGAGAGUGAAGAUUAAGAAGAUGAAACAUUUGAACUAGAAAGUCAAGGAGAGACUGUUGUGGAAGGUUCCAGAAAGAAAAGGAAAAAGUCAGCAGGAACUUCUGAGACUUGAUUCGGGAAUUGUUGUAGUGUACACGGCUAUUUUAAUAGCUUAUUUGAGUGGAAACAAGUAGAGAGAAG